Molecule: ribosomal RNA, 485 nt
Filed under: uncultured bacterium
Lineage: Bacteria
Description: bacterial SSU rRNA
Rfam family: Bacterial small subunit ribosomal RNA
Source: RNAcentral
AGUAGUUGAUCAGUGGCUCAGGACACGCUGGCGGCGUGCUUAACACAUGCAAGUCGAACGAUGAACCGGAGCUUGCUCCGGGGAUUAGUGGCGAACGGGUGAGUAACACGUGGGCAACCUGCCCCAGACAUCGGGAUAACCAUUCGAAAGGAUGGCUAAUACCGGAUAUGACCACUUCGGGCAUCCGAUGGUGGUGGAAAGGAUUCUGGUCUGGGAUGGGCCCGCGGCCUAUCAGCUAGUUGGUGGGGUAAUGGCCUACCAAGGCGACGACGGGUAGCCGGCCUGAGAGGGCGACCGGCCACACUGGGACUGAGACACGGCCCAGACUCCUACGGGAGGCAGCAGUGGGGAAUAUUGCGCAAUGGGCGAAAGCCUGACGCAGCGACGCCGCGUGAGGGACGAAGGUCUUCGGAUUGUAAACCUCUUUCAGCAGGGACGAAGCGAAAGUGACUGUACCUGCAGAAGAAGCACCGGCUAACUACGUG